Molecule: ribosomal RNA, 406 nt
Filed under: uncultured Methylomirabilota bacterium
Lineage: Bacteria; Methylomirabilota (SeqCode)
Description: bacterial SSU rRNA
Rfam family: Bacterial small subunit ribosomal RNA
Source: RNAcentral
CGUGGAGACAGGUGGUGCAUGGUUGUCGUCAGCUCGUGUCGUGAGAUGUUGGGUUAAGUCCCGCAACGAGCGCAACCCUUGUCCUUAGUUACCUGCAUUAAGUUGGGGACUCUAGGGAGACUGCCAGUGACAAACUGGAGGAAGGUGGGGAUGACGUCAAAUCAUCAUGCCCUUUAUGCCUUGGGCUACACACGUACUACAAUGGGCUGUACAGAGGGCGGCAAGACUGUGAAGUCAAGCGAAUCCCUUAAAGCAGUCCUCAGUUCGGAUUGUAGUCUGCAACUCGACUCCGUGAAGUUGGAAUCGCUAGUAAUCGUGGAUCAGCAUGCCACGGUGAAUACGUUCCCGGGCCUUGUACACACCGCCCGUCACACCACGAAAGUCUGCUGUACUCGAAGUCGCUGAG